GAUGAACGCUGGCGGCGUGCCUAAUACAUGCAAGUCGAGCGAACAGACGAGGAGCUUGCUCCUCUGACGUUAGCGGCGGACGGGUGAGUAACACGUGGAUAACCUACCUAUAAGACUGGGAUAACUUCGGGAAACCGGAGCUAAUACCGGAUAAUAUAUUGAACCGCAUGGUUCAAUAGUGAAAGACGGUUUUGCUGUCACUUAUAGAUGGAUCCGCGCCGCAUUAGCUAGUUGGUACGGUAACGGCUUACCAAGGCGACGAUGCGUAGCCGACCUGAGAGGGUGAUCGGCCACACUGGAGCUGAGACACGGUCCAGACUCCUACGGGAGGCAGCAGUAGGGAAUCUUCCGCAAUGGGCGAAAGCCUGACGGAGCAACGCCGCGUGAGUGAUGAAGGUCUUCGGCUCGUAAAACUCUGUUAUUAGGGAAGAACAAAUGUGUAAGUAACUAUGCACGUCUUGACGGUACCUAAUCAGAAGGCCACGGCUAACUACGU
Molecule: ribosomal RNA, 496 nt
Filed under: uncultured bacterium
Lineage: Bacteria
Description: partial 16S ribosomal RNA
Rfam family: Bacterial small subunit ribosomal RNA
Source: RNAcentral